GAUGAACGCUGGCGGCGUGCCUAAUACAUGCAAGUCGAGCGAACGGACGAGAAGCUUGCUUUUCUGAUGUUAGCGGCGGACGGGUGAGUAACACGUGGAUAACCUACCUAUAAGACUGGGAUAACUUCGGGAAACCGGAGCUAAUACCGGAUAAUAUUUUGAACCGCAUGGUUCAAAAGUGAAGGACGGUCUUGCUGUCACUUAUAGAUGGAUCCGCGCUGCAUUAGCUAGUUGGUAAGGUAACGGCUUACCAAGGCAACGAUGCAUAGCCGACCUGAGAGGGUGAUCGGCCACACUGGAACUGAGCCACGGUCCAGACUCCUACGGGAGGCAGCAGUAGGGAAUCUUCCGCAAUGGGCGAAAGCCUGACGGAGCAACGCCGCGUGAGUGAUGAAGGUCUUCGGAUCGUAAAACUCUGUUAUUAGGGAAGAGCAUAUGUGUAAGUAACUGUGCACAUCUUGACGGUACCUAAUCAGAAAGCCACGGCUAACUACGUG
This 497-nucleotide ribosomal RNA is filed under the name uncultured bacterium. RNAcentral's name for it is "partial 16S ribosomal RNA". It matches the Rfam family "Bacterial small subunit ribosomal RNA", at positions 28 to 507 of the family's 1533-position model. The record is from RNAcentral.